RNAcentral lists this ribosomal RNA (482 nucleotides) under uncultured bacterium. RNAcentral describes it as "partial 16S ribosomal RNA". It matches the Rfam family "Bacterial small subunit ribosomal RNA", at positions 30 to 507 of the family's 1533-position model. The record is from RNAcentral.
AUUGAACGCUGGCGGCAUGCCUUACACAUGCAAGUCGAACGGUAACGGGCCUUCGGGUGCCGACGAGUGGCGCACGGGUGAGUAAUACAUCGGAACGUGCCCGAUCGUGGGGGAUAACGAGGCGAAAGCUUUGCUAAUACCGCAUACGAUCUACGGAUGAAAGCAGGGGGCCGCAAGGCCUUGCGCGGACGGAGCGGCCGAUGGCAGACUAGGUAGUUGGUGGGGUAAAAGCUUACCAAGCCGACGAUCUGUAGCUGGUCUGAGAGGAUGAUCAGCCACACUGGGACUGAGACACGGCCCAGACUCCUACGGGAGGCAGCAGUGGGGAAUUUUGGACAAUGGGCGCAAGCCUGAUCCAGCCAUGCCGCGUGCAGGAUGAAGGCCUUCGGGUUGUAAACUGCUUUUGUACGGAACGAAAAGCCUUCUUUUAAUACAGGAGGGUCAUGACGGUACCGUAAGAAUAAGCACCGGCUAACUACGUG